RNAcentral lists this long non-coding RNA (810 nucleotides) under Marmota monax (woodchuck). The record is from RNAcentral. Lineage: Eukaryota; Metazoa; Chordata; Mammalia; Rodentia; Sciuridae.
GCAACCAGAGUGUGCCAGAGCCUUCCAUGGAGCUAAGCUGGUGCUCUGUGGCCAGAAUGUAGAGGCCCCCAAAGAACUCACUAGAGAGCUCACUGCUUUUAUUACCUCCCAGGGGCAGGUGCACAAGCCUUACGCAGUGACCUUCGACCCUACAGACACUGGGACUAUUGUGGCUGUGGCAGCUAAGAUCCUGCAGUGCUUUGGCUAUGUAGACAUACUCAUCAACAAUGCUGGGAUCAGCUACCAUUACAGACACCACAGUGGAUGUUGAAGAGAGUCAUGGAGACAAAUUACUUUGGCCCUAUUGCUCUAACAAAAGCACUCCUGCCCUCCAAGAUCAAGAGGAGGCAAGGCCACAUCAUCACCAUUAGGGCAAAAUCAGCAUUUCUUUUCAAUCAGCAUAUGGAGCCUCCAAGCAUGCAACCCAGGCCUUCUUUGACUGUCUGCAUGCUGAGAUGGAACAGGAUGAGAUUCAGGUGACUGUAAUCAGCCUUGGCUACAUCUAUACCAACCUCUCUGCAAAUGCCAUUACCACUGAUGGGUCCAGAUACGGAGCUAUUAACAAGAACACAGCCCAGGGAUGGAAGCCCUGUAGAGGUGGCCAAAGAUGUUGUUGCUGCUGUGGGGAAGAAGAAGAAAGAUGUGAUCCUGGCUGACUUUCUGCUUUUCUUGGCCAUUUAUCUUCAAACUCUGGCUCCUGGGCUCUUUUUCAGCAUCAUGGCCUCCAGGACCAAAAAGGAGAGAAAAUCUAAGAAUUCCUAAUCCUGGCCCAGAGCUAGCAGCUCCAACCAGUUUGAGUUAGGAUGAGAA